This 498-nucleotide ribosomal RNA is filed under the name uncultured bacterium. RNAcentral's name for it is "partial 16S ribosomal RNA". It matches the Rfam family "Bacterial small subunit ribosomal RNA", at positions 30 to 523 of the family's 1533-position model. The record is from RNAcentral.
AUUGAACGUUGGCGGCAUGCCUUACACAUGCAAGUCGAACGGUAACAGGUCUUCGGAUGCUGACGAGUGGCGAACGGGUGAGUAAUACAUCGGAACGUGCCUAGUAGUGGGGGAUAACUACUCGAAAGAGUGGCUAAUACCGCAUGAGAUCUACGGAUGAAAGCAGGGGAUCGCAAGACCUUGUGCUACUAGAGCGGCCGAUGGCAGAUUAGGUAGUUGGUGGGAUAAAAGCUUACCAAGCCGACGAUCUGUUGCUGGUCUGAGAGGACGAUCAGCCACACUGGGACUGAGACACGGCCCAGACUCCUACGGGAGGCUGCAGUGGGGAAUUUUGGACAAUGGGCGAAAGCCUGAUCCAGCAAUGCCGCGUGCAGGAAGAAGGCCUUCGGGUUGUAAACUGCUUUUGUCAGGGAAGAAAUCUUCUGGGCUAAUACCCCGGGAGGAUGACGGUACCUGAAGAAUAAGCACCGGCUAACUACGUGCCAGCCGCCGCAGUAA